This is a long non-coding RNA of Mandrillus leucophaeus (drill), 631 nucleotides long. RefSeq lists it as uncharacterized. NCBI's taxonomy places the organism in Eukaryota, Metazoa, Chordata, Mammalia, Primates, Cercopithecidae. The record is from RefSeq and is a predicted model, not a curated record. The transcript has 2 exons.
GCGCCCCUGCACUCCAGCCUGGGCGACAGAGCGAGACUCCGGCUCAAAAAAAAAAAAAAACAAAAAAAACAAAGUGGAGAGGACAAAAAAGCAGAGAAGGAUGAUCAGAGGGGGACCCUCAGCCCUUCGAGGAGAGACAGCAGCCUCAGGCCACCACAAAGGAUUUUGUGGAGUCAACCCAGGCCUGAGAGCGUUAAUUAUCCCUGGCUUUCAUCUUUAUGCUCUUGCAGGGGGUUGCUCGAAAUGCCUGGUGGCUCGACCUCUGCACGGAGCCCCUAGCCCAGCCUCCCCGUGGGCUGGAACCUUGGUCUAGGCCUGAUUCUGGCUGCUCUGGGGACAAGCCCUCGUCCUUUGCUGAAGCUGAGGCUCCAGAGGGGGAGUCACUGCCACGAAGGUUGCCCAGAACUUUCCUUGCUGCAGAAAGCCCCAAGACUUCUCCCUGCCACACACACAGCUCUUGCCGUCGCGUUCUAGAAGCUGACAGCUUUCUCUCCAACACUGUCCUCCCUGAGUAUGGUAAAGCUACACUUGGCUUCCCCAGGAGCUUCCUGCCUAGAAACAAAUUUUUGCCACUCUGCUUUUCAAAUGGGAUAUAUGAUUCAUAUACCACAAAAUUCACCACUUUAUAUAA